UGAGAGCGCCAGUGGACACUAUAUGAAGAAUGUAUGAAAUGAAGAUAAUGAGCCGGAAACAACCUCCCAUAAUAACUCCCAGGCAUUACUGCUAUGAAACAAGGCCCAAAAUCUCCUCCCUUGUCUCUCCUCAGCUCCUCGUAAAAGCUUGGGAUCGAUCUAAUUAAGGUGUUGAAAUCAUUACUGAAGAGAUCGUUUUGGAAAAUUUGAAACAUGGGUUCCUUCUUAUUUAGUUUCUUUCGUAUCGUAUCAAUAGAAUCUAUCAUUUCCCUAAAAACUAGUAGCGCGUUGGGACCUGAAGAGCAUCCAAAUCUGCCAGUUUCAAGCAUUCAGGGAAGCUAUCUAGACAGAGCUCUCUUAGGGUUUCUUGCAGUGCUAGUAUUGCCCUGGACAUAACCUGUUUCUGUAUUUAUGCGUACGGACAGCAAGUUAGUUACAACAUUGAAAUCAAUAAUAUGCAUGUUUUGAAUCUUCAUUUUUCUUUUGUACUUAAACCAACCUCUUGCAAGGUUUAUGAAAAAAAGAGCAACAUCUUGCAAGUGAGUUACAUCGCUUUUGAUUGAAACGAUUAGGAAUGUCAAAUAGGCUCAAACUUUGGAUUGGGUUCAGGCGUGUUCUGCUGUCUCAGAGGUGAUUACAACAAAGAAUAUGACGGAAUGACAUGAUUGUCGAGUGAGGUAGGCCAUCGCGGUUCGAUCCACAACAAGUCAUGGCUGAAGGUUGUAGGUGUUGCCUUGGGUUCAAAAAGAGUUGCGUUUGGAUUUGCUGGUGAAAAUCCUCCAGAUCUGAAGGGAACAAGCCUCCAGAUAUGGAGGCUCGGCACCGCCUCCACAAUCAUAAAGGUCUCGAUGGUGAUGCCGAACUUGCUGAGACCUUGACAGCAGUGGAGCCCAGGUUGCAGAUCGGUGCCGGCAAGCGUGAUCAAGCUGGUGGCACCGAUCCGGAUGAGGCGUCGGCAGUGGGCAACGACAGUAUGAUACGAGGGUGGAGAGAGAGAGAGAGAGAGAGAGAGAGAGAGAGAGAGAGAGUGAGUGACCUGGACGAAGGAAUUCUGGGCAUAACUAGCUCUUCCUUCUCCUCCAUUCAUGCAAAGACUCUGAUCCAUGGUUGGAGGAAGGGCCACUUUCAGCACUGUAAUCUUAGCUUCAUUUAUCGUUUCCCUGCCCGUACCUUCAUAUUUUAGAAGUAGAUUCAUAAUGGAAAAAGCUUAGCCGACAACACUCUCUCAACCACAUACUUUGGGUGGGUUUCCAUCUUUAACCAUUUUUUUUUUAAUUUUUAUGUUUAAGGGGUUGUUAUCUUAAAUUUGUCAAAUCUAAGUUCUCAUGUCCCCCUACUUUAACAUCCAGCUCUUGAAAGGUUGGCUUCCUCAACCAGUUCCAUUUUUACUCUAUUUUUUUCCCAAGAUUUAUAUAAUUCUUUAUCCAAGCUCAAAUCGAGAAACAAAUCAAAGUAAUAAUAUUCACACAAUAAGAAACAAAUCCUACAAUAUUUUUCAAAUAAUAAGAAAUAUAUGAAGAAUUGAAUUGCAACUUUUAAAAUAGUGUGUAUUAUUUUUUGGCCAAAAGAAAAUAUUAUGUAGAUAUAUUCCCAAAUAAAAAAUAAUAAUAACUCAAAAAAUGGGAAUGUAAUUAUCUUUUCUUUUUCUUUUUUACAGAAUGUGUAAUUAUCUUGUACACUUUGAACUUCGAUUGUUGUACGAUUUUGCAAUUGAAUAAGUCAUAACUGUGGAGAAAAGUUUGUUAAUCUCUACUUUUCUUAUUGCAAGAAAGUAGGAAUAUUCAUUGUUGUCGAAUUUUACUUUCUAUGACAUAUAAUUCUUAAUAUUUUCAUGACAUCUUAUUUAGAUUAAUGGAGUUCGUAUUGAAAGCAACUUUGCCAAUGAAAAUAAUGGUGGUGAUGAGGACAAGAUGAACAAUGCAACCGAAGAUACUAAUCAUGAAAGCGCCACAAUACCAGAGAACAUGAAAAUUGAAUCUUGCAUAGGCAUGGAGUUUAAUGCUUAUGAUGAUGCUUACGCAUUUAUAACAAUUAUGCUAAAGAAGCGGGAUUUGGCAUUAGAGUGUUAAGCUCAUACAAAAGAAAAGGUAGCAAGGAAAAAUGUGGUGCAGUACUUUGUUGCAGUUGUCAAGGGUACAAGUCGAAAAGAAGUAGGUUAAUUCAAGACCGAGAACAAAAUGCAGUUGUCCAGCAAUAGUUAGAGUACAUCUAGUUAGGCCUCAUAAGUAGGAAAUAACAAAGUUGUUCUCAAUCAUAAUCUUUUUACAUCUCCUUGAAGCGCUAGAUUCUUUACAUCACACAGAAAUAUCGAAUCCAUAACAAAAGGAAAAAUCGAGUUGUAUUGUGAUGCAAGGAUUAGAACAAAUAAAUCGUUUCAAGCGUUUGUGGUUGAAGAAUGAGGACAUGAGAACUUAAAUUUGACAAAUUUAAGAUAUUAAAUAGAACCCUCAAAUAUGAAAAAAAGAAAAUAGAAAAAUAGGGUAAAAGAUAGAAACCGUUUGAAAAAGUCAACCGGUUUCCAACCAAAAUGUGGGGUCCUUAGUUGAUCGUCACUCCGUCAUUUCAUGGAGAAUGGUCAGCUAAGCCAGACAUUCAUAAUUAACCAUAAAAUUCAAAAGAAAUUAAAAGAGUUUUGCUAGUGUGAUGGUACUGUUAUGCUAAGUUUCUAAUGGUGCCAUGUUGACCACAAUUUUCACUCCAAUAAGAAAUGGCUACUAGAAGUUUGUAGGUAAUAUGAUUCUUUCCAUAAAAACUAAAUAAAUUCACACUGAAGAAAAUGAAAUUUAGAAACCAUUCUUUGCUCCUCCUAACUACUUCUUUUGAAUUUAAAUCUUCAUCCCAUCUCUCCUCUAUGAACUACUUUGCAAUAUGAUCUUUUUUUUAGUUAAUCUUCACUUUUUUAUAAUGGAAAUCCACAUUUUACAACGUUUCCUCUUGGUAAAUGUUGCAAUAUCUAUAUCUCAUUAAAUAAAACAAGAAACUUAUGACAUUCACUUGCUCACAUUAAAAUUAAUAUAUAUAUAUAUAUAUAUAUAUAUAUAUAUAUAGAUAAAAAAAUCCACAUUUUAUUAAGUUUUGAACUUAUGACAUACCGUCCAAAAUUCAUUGUAUACCACGGUAAUUGUAGGAUUUAAAUUUCAUAUUUUCUUGUACUUUACAAUAUAUUGCACUCGAUUACAAUAAAAUGUUGUACAAUGCUGGUGCAAUUUUGAAAAAUUAGAUAAAAAUGCAUUUUAUGACAUCGCGUGUAGUUGAUUACCAUCAAACAUAAUGAAUCUUUAGAGAAUAUCGUAAAAUAUAAAAAAUAUUUUUUAUGAUGUUUUGUAUUUAAUCACAUCCUCAUAUUGUAAAUUUGCAAAUUUUGAUUUUUUUUAUUGUUUUUUUACGAGCUACGCUAGUCGAAUUUAAAUGGAAAAUGUCAGAAUAAUUCUUUUUGGUUGGUCAUAUCCUUGAUGGAAUAAAGAGGUCAUGUGUCACGCCUCAAACCCCGAGCAUGCGCACAUUCCUCGGUGGUUGAUAAAAUUGCAACGUCCCAAGACACGUCGCUGACCCAUCUAUUUUAAUACACAUGCGGAAGCGUAUAAUAAAAUUCCCAAACAACACAAGUAUGGGAUAGAAAAGCAGGAUAUCAUUUUCACAAAACACUUUUCAUAAACAAGCUAAGUUUAUUUACAACACUAGACUAUAAACAAAGAUCUAAACCAAAAGAAGAGCCACCCAGCUAACUAGGCAUAGGACUCUUUGGCCGAGACCUCUGAGACCUCCGGGGGAUCUGGGUCUUCCACGACGUUGAUCGCAACGGCAGGGAUGUUGGAACCCUGUAGGGGACCUUCCCUGAUUCCAUUGAUCCCAUAGUGAAACCACGCCCUGAAUCGAUGAGGUACAAACUGUGGUUGGCCCUCAUCGACCAAGAUAGUGGUCAUUAUGAGCUCAUGGAGCUAGGGACUCCCGGGGAUAGGGACGUUAGUACUCUACUUCGUAUACCCCAUCGGCUUGUGACGGCCUGAAUUUUCAAAAUUUGUUUUCAAUUAAAUAAAUCGGGCCUUUCAUCGAUGCACCGAUAGUACUAUUCUUUGAGCUGAUCACUCAUGAGAUAACUAGACUAUCUGGGGAAGCCAUUAAGGGAUUUUAAUGCGAUAGACUUGAUAAUUCAACUAGGAAUUGAUUUCUUGACCAUGUUAAUCUGCAAGAGUCAUUACGGCACUGUCGAAAUCGAUAAGAGACCGGAGAUAGGUUGAUUUGACUGAGAUAUGUGAUCAAAGUAUAGAUGAUUCUACUUGAUUGCAAAAUACUCGUCAAUCGGCACUAGACCGAUUUUUCUAUCGUUUUGGUACCUGGUACUUGUAAUUGAAAUAUUGAGAUUUUCACGACAACUGAGGGUCAUCAAUGAGUCGAAAAGGUACAUUGUGACUCGAGAUAAAUUGAUCACGGGUCAAUUGCACUAAAAAUUCCUAAAAGCUACUAAAAUUGAUUCAAAUCGAAAUUAACCGCGAAUUUGAACCUAAUUUCAAAAAUUGAAAGUUCUGUAAUGUCAUGAUUUAUUUUAGGAACAUUGACUCAUCCUAUGAAUUUUUUUUGGAGAUUCGGAGGUUUUUACGGAAAAUUGUUUCGAACGUUGCGAAAAAUUAGCGAAAAUUCGGAUGAGCCAAAUUAAAGAAAAUUUGGACUUCCAAGCCAAGCCUUUGAGUGUUGGGGACUUACAAAAAAUUGUUUGGGAUUUUUCUUCAGUGAAAUCGGACCUCGAUUUGGAUAAUGGAAGAUGAAAUUGAAGUAUAAAAUUAGUGAAAUUCGGAUCCCUCCCUCUGUGCUGCCUUUUCUUCAUUUUUCCCAUAGCGUCAAACCAUCGAAGCUGCUCCAUUUUUCGCUUUGUUUCUCUGCCACGAAGGUAGCUUGCUGCCAUCUCCUGCAGCUUCACCCACUGAAACAUCCACCAGAGUCAACCAGCAGAGCCGGUUUGUUGACUCCUUCGCUGGCUCUCUUCCAUUCGGCCCACAACCCACCGAAGCAUCGUCCACGCGCUUCCCAGCUUCUGCUGAAGCCACGCCAGCCCACUUCUCGAUCAAAAUCGGCAAAUUCUUCAGCGAAGCCCAGCCCUCGAUCACUCCUCUCUUGUUCGCAACUCAGCUCCUCACGCAUCUUACUUCUAUCCGUGCUCAGCUUCUGCGAGACGUCCCACCGGUCAACUUCUCUCCCUUGAAGCCCCAAGGUUGACCCCUCCCCACGUGUCCCGCAGCACCAAAGCAGCCAGCUUCCAUUUCCCCUGCCAGCGAAGCCACCAUCAAUUGUUUUAUUCCAUCGAGCAGUCCAGCAUCUUCGUUCGUGUCUUCUCCAGCAACAUGUCUUCGGCCCAAAUCCGCAGCAGCCCAUGAAGACCUGCAGCCCGCGCGUUUUGUUUCCUCAGCUCGCCUCAACGGCCCAACUCUCUGCAGCCCAACUCCCCUGCAAACUAGAAUUGAAGUCAGCCCAUUUCAGCCCAUUUGGAAGCCCAGCAAAUUGCCAUUUUCAGCAGCUAAAGCCCGCGAAGCAAGCCCGACCCAACUCAAGAAAAAAUCUCAACUUGGGCUGAGAUUUGUUGGGCCAAUUUUAGGCCCAGUCCAAAACCGUUGUUGCUGCUGCAAUUCGGAAUUCGGCCGCCGUCAUGCCACCGUCAUGGUGGAUAGUUAGUGCAAGUAGAGCUUAGACAAACUCUAAUAUUUAACUAGAGUGGUUUGGUAAUUUUUCGGACCUGUUUCGGCUUCCAAUUAGGAUUUUCCGAGCCUAAGUCUAUUUACUUGUAUUUAUUUAUUAAUUUUCAUAAUUAUUUAAUGAAUUAUUUAUUUUCCGAAAAUUCAACCUGGAUGGUCAGUGACUGGAAUUUCAUGCUGAUUGCAGUGGUGCUCUCUGUUUAUUUAAUUGAGCACUAGAUCAUGAAAAUUGAGUGACUUGACGAUUAUGUAGGGAUUUAUCCCAAAAUUGAUUAGUGUCGAUAUUCAAUUGGAAAUUGAUUGUGAAAGGUUAUGAGUAGAUCUAGAAAACCGCUGAAGUAUGGCUGUACUAGUUGGGCCGAGAUUCGCCACCGAAUUUGGAGUCAGUCGUGCCCAAUCAGGCCGUAAUUUGGCACCUGUUAAAGGUCGCGCCCAUCGAGCCAUGAUUCACCACCUAAUAGAGGUCGUGCCUAAUAAGGUUGUGAUCUACCACCUAUUAAAGGUUGCAUCACUGGGCCAUGAUUACUAUCUAAAGAUAGGUUGUGUCCUUAGGACCGUGAUUCAUGAUUGAGAAUUUUAUAGACUCUGCUCAUUGAGUCAUGAUUAAGAAGUGAGAUUGAAUAGAUGAGAUGAUUGGGAAAUGGUUUUGAUGACAUAUAAUCGACUGGGUCGAUUGAUCAAUGGUUCAAUUUGUUCAUUGGAUGCUGUGAUUGUUAGUAUUUAUGAUUUGAACUGACUUGUAGGAAGGAACUGAGGCCAAGGUAAGUCCUCUCACGCCUGAUUGUGCUUAGGCAGCCCUUAGGGCGUAAUUUUCUUCCUAAUAGAGUCUUAGGGAGUAGAACUUGUUGAGACGUUGUCUCACUCGUUGUGGGAUAACAUUUUUAGGUCCUUAGGUGACGGCUAUAGAGUCGAGAGUCCCGGAGUUUGGGAAGGUGGAAGAAGCAUAAUCAACGAACCUGUAUGGCUAGUUAGUCAUAGGACAAUUCCUUAAAAUCAGGACCCAUGUAUGACUUGUUGUGGUUUGAAAAGUUUGGCCCUGCUUUCCUAUUCCAUUGUUUUAUUAUUUGGGGAUAUUUAUAUGCUUCCACAUGUGUACUAAAAAGAAUGGGUCGGCGAUUUGUUCUGGGACAUCGCUAUUAAUCAACCAAGGAGGGAUAAGCACAUACUCCGAAGAUCGGGGCGUGACACGGCUUCCCAAAACACACUGGAGGAACUGCCAUCUACGGACCUAAAAAGAAUUGAACCCAUGAUGAGGUGAGACAACGUCUUAGUAAUUCCACCCCCUAAACUCCAACUAGGAAGAAAAUACGCCUAGCCAUAUAACCACAAAGACUCACCUCCCCUUAGUUCCUCCUUACAUGUCAGCACAAUUCAUAUUGCAGACAUAAGCAAUAAUAAUACUCAAUCAAUUGGAACGCCACACCUCACACAGCCACAGGGGUCCCGAUUAUAAGGCUAAAUCGUUAUAACACAUCCCAUACUGUGUGCUACAUGAUUUUUUCCCAUAAUCAGGCGCGUCAAUUUCACUCAAUCAUGUGUUCUAAUUUUUAUCACAGCCCAAUGAGCACGGCAUAUUCGACGUUCGGCAGUCUUCUGGCAUAACCAGACAUCGCCUCAUCCCUUGAGCACGGCAAUGUCCACCCGACACACAUUGGGGACGGCAUUCCCAAAGGAGCUUCGGUCUGACCUCUACCAUGAUCUGACAUCCAUUGAUAAGGCAUCCCAUAUAGGGGCAACGUCUACUUGAUGUACAUCGGGGACGGGUUCUCUUAACCAACACACAAUCAUUCAAUCUUGGCCAAGAACACUGUGCAUUGCACUUAAAUGCCUCGAUUAAAAUAGUGAAUUUGACUUAUUUUCUUCAUAUUAAAAACACACGGUAAAAUAAUCAUGUGUGGGUACAUGGUCAAUUUGAACCAGAAAAAUUGAUACCCUUCCUUUUUAAAAUCCCACUAUUUGAUAUAGUCUUUAAAACUAUUUUCUGUGUCAAAACCCGACACCCGGGAUUUUCUAAUUAAAUACUGAAAUUUCACAAUUUUGGAAUAAAUAACCAAAAUUUUAAUCACCGGUCAAUUUGCACAAUAUAACAACACUCAAUUGCAUAAACUAAGCACACUACUACAAUCGGCACGAAAUUCCAAUCAUUGGCUAUCCUGGUAUAAUUUAUGAAAAAAUCAAAUAAUUAAAUAAAUAGCAAAAAUAAUAAAUAUGCAAAUUAAAUACAAUAAAUACUAACUUAAGCCGAAAACGUUAAACUAACCACCUAAACGGGCCUAGAAAAUUACCACACGUAUCUAGAUAAAUAGUACAAUCUAAUUAGCCCUUAAUUAGUCUAUUCUAACCACCUAACAAGCAUAAUUAAAUAAUUAGAUCACUAAUAUGGACUAACUAACCACUUAAUCCAUACUUAGUUUAAACUAAUUAUCCGCUAAAUGUAAUUAACUCCCUAAGUAGAGUUUAGCAAGUAAACUCAUCGGUUUAGCGGGCCGGUGAGUCCACGGUGAAGGUGAUCAACACUCGAGCCUACGGCGAUACCAAUGGAGGUCUAAACGAGCCUUAAAACGAGCCCAGAAACCUCAGCCCACAGAUAAAGUUCAACUUUUGCUUCAUAGGCCGAGAAGGCUGGUCAGAGCUUGGCUUGGGCUAAAACAAACCAAGCGGGUUGGCGGAGGUUGUAGCGGGUGACGAUGAUGCUCGACAGUGGCAGAUGGUGGCCAGAUGAACUGCGACAGUGGCCAGGGUAGCUCGGGACGGCGACUAGGUGCGAGUAGGAGGCGGGAAGAGCACGUGAGCACGAGGGACGCGUGGAUGGCUCGCGGGCAGCGUGCGACUAGUCUGGCGUCUUCAGGCAGUGGUCGACGGUCAGGGAGAGGCUACUAGCUAGUUCUCUGGUUCUCUCAAGCUCUCAAAUGCCUCAACAAUGGAUAAAGGAGGCCCAAUGAAGAAAAAGAAGGCUACUGAAGCAAGGGGGGACCCAAUUGGCCUCAAUGUCAACCAAAAUGUCCCAUUGUGCUCAUUGCUUGCCCCCACCACCUUCACCUCUCAAUUCUCAGCCAUUUGUUCACCCAAACUUCCCCAACAAGCCAUUGAAAUGGUCCAAAAAGUUGCAACGCCCCCUAGCUACGAAUUUUGUGGCAUUUGGCCUCCAAUUUCACUCAAUUCUCCUCCAAUUUGGCUCAAAUUGGAGUCUAUAAAAUCAGCCAAGGUGACAUCAUCCAUCUCAUGAUUUUUUCUCAUCAAGUGAACCAACUUGAUGACAAAAAAUGCGACCAAAAACGGCCAUUUAAUUUCCCGAUCCAAAAUAAUCUAACUUUGAUUUUUCACCGAAAUUUCGAGUUUGUAAAAAAAUCUUUGGAGGAUGAGUCGAUGUUCCUAAAAUGAAUUGUGACAUAAUAAAAAUUUCAAUUUCUGAAAUCGAGUUUAAAUUCGUGGUUAAUUUCAACUGGGCGCGAUUUUAGCAUGACCUAGCCUAUCGAGUAGCUUUUAGGAAUUUUUAGUACAAUUGACCCUUGGUCGAUUAUUUUCGUGUCACAUUGUACAUUUUCGACUCAUUGGCAUCUUUCAAUUGUUGUGAAGAUCUUGAGAUUUCAAAUACGAGCACAAGGUACAUAAAUGACAGAAAAAUCAGUUUAGUGUCGUUCGACUAGAACUUUGCAAUUAGGUGGAAUCACCCACACUUUAAUCACAUACCUCAGUCGAAUCGAUCUAUCUACGAUCGCUAAUCGAUUUUGAUAGUGUUGUAUUGACCCUUACAGAUUAGCAUGGUUGAUCAAUCGAUUUUUGGUCAAAUUCUCAAGUCUAUUGUGUUAAAAAUCCUUUAACGGCUUUAUCAGAUAGAUUAGUUAUCCCGUUAGUGAUUAGCUCAGGGAAAAGAACUAUAGGUGCGUCGAUGAAAAGCCCAACUCAUUCAAUUGAAAAUAGAAUCAGAAAUUCGGGAUGUCACACCAUGCAUUGAUGGAAUAUUUAAAUAUUAAAUCACAUUUUCAUCUAAUAGCUUGCAGACCAAAAAACAAAAAACUAAUAGUUAGAAUUUUUAGAAUAGCUGGGCAGUGGUCUCAUUGUAACUCAUAUUAUUUUAGAGCAGGAGUUCCUGAAUUUGAGUCUUUUCAAGGUCUAUUUGCCUGAAUCUUUUGAAGGUCUAUUUGUCUUCUCAAUGGUCCCAUAUAAUCUUACAUACCAAAGGAGAAAAAGAUUGAGCAAGAAAAGAGAGAGAGAGAGAGAGAGAGAGAGAAAAGAAAUAGAAGGCCAAGAGUAACAGUGUAGUUAGCUUCUCCUUUUCCCAAUUAGAAGUCUCGUCUCAACUCAUGUGGAUUUUAGAAGUAGAUCAUAAUGGAAAAAGCUUAGCCGAUCAUACUCUCUCAAUCACACACUUUGAUGGGUUUCCAUCUGUAGGAAUUCAAGUCAGUAGAAUACGACUUAUCUGUUUUCGAUGCGUAGUCAACAAUUUACUUCAGACCGAUUGUUGAAUUGCGGAUGAAUCACGAACAAUAUUACCUCACUUUGAUCUGAAUGUAAUUACGAGAAAAACAUCUGAUUUUCACAGUGUAAAUUCCAAUUGUUCUUGUAAAGAAGAAAUGUAACGCUUUCUUUUUCUUUUGAUAGAAAGGGGACAAGAAAAUGAGAGGAAUUUCUCUGAGGAUACAAUCUGCCAACCAUGCCAAGGGUUAUCUUCAGGAGUCUUUUAUAUGACUUCAUCACACCCUUUAAAAGGUGUCUUUCCAUCGUAGCAUAUCAAGACGAAACGGUGUGAUCCAAUCGCACUCCAUCAUGGAUGUACUAAUUAAGUACAACAUCUCCCACUCAAACAUGAUGGACUUGAUAGCGCUCUUUCAAGAGUAUAAGGCAUUCAACAUUCAUCAACUUUACAAAACAAUUCAUACUAGCAAAUAAGUAGUGUGACUAAUGAGUACACCUACACUUGGGAGCUCAAAUUAUGAACCUGUUAAGGAUGAAAUAAUGGAUAUAACCUUUUACAAAAAAUAAAUAAAUAAUGGCUAUAACCCCGAAAAGAAAUAAAUAAUCGAUGUCUCACAGUGCCCGAGACAUAUUUGGUUACAUCAAUCCAAGUAUACCUAUCUCUUAAAGGCUAUACUUGACUAUUCUCAAAACACCGUGUAUUUACAAUUAUAUCCGCAACCACAUAAAUCGAUAUAAUUGGUUAACUAGUAAAUACAUGUGAUAGAUUUAAAACAACAAUAAUCUUCCUUCGCACUCAUGUCUCUCUCCAUUUCAGAACAACUACUUUCCUAGACACGUCCCAUAAGGCCAUAUCUAUUCAUGGCCGCCGGUAACAUGCUAAAGUAGCAACAUUGAUCUUUCACUUCUAGAACAUAGUUAGAAGUUACAUAUGGGACAAAAUGAGAUAAAUUAUAAAUUACCUCAAGGGCUCACACGAUGAGUAAAUAGGGAUAAUUUUACUCACAUUCUCUUAUUGAUCGUACAAUACACAUGUAGUACGAAUUACAUGCUAUAGUAGAUUUCUCUUUCUAUAAGAGCGUAUGUUCUUUAUUAAAUAUAUUCACUAUACGGAUCUUAACCUAAACAUAGUCACGUACUUCUCAUGUACUCAUGUUUAGCUCGAGUGUUAUAUCGGCUCGCUUUCUAUAGCGCCCAAUUAAUAACUCACACCCGGCAUUUUACAGGCAUACAUAAUUAUGAGACUAUCAUGCUCGAUCUAAUUAUAACAAAUCACAGACCUCAUCUUGACUCCAAUCAAUGCGACAUAUUAUUUUAUGUACUAAACUUGCUCUUCAGCAUUUAUUUGUACAUAAAACCUCAUCUCAACAUGCUAACUAUAACACUUGAGGUGAUUGCUCGUGUGAGUGAGCCAAUCAUUACCUACUGACAUACUUUUCAAUAAUAUAUGUGUGUAUGUGCUAGUCUCAUAAUGGAUUUGUACUUAUUGAAAGAACAUCAAGUCACUAAUAAACAAAUAAGUACAAUACAUAUGUCCACAUAUACAUAAACUAAUGAUCCUCUAUAAUAACACAUAUCACAUUCUACGCAAUUCUAGUGACAUCUUGUGGGUCAAGAAUAUGUCUCUAGGAACAACUUUCGUAAAUGGAUCAGCAACCAUUCUAUUGGUUAAAAUGUAUUGAAGGAUCACUUAUUUAUGCGUUAUUAUAUCUCUAAUGAAGUUGUUCUUUAUGUCAAUGUGCUUUGUCCUUUCAUGAUACUUUGGAUCUUUCACAUAAGCAAUGGCUUCUUGACCAUCACAAUAAUCUAUCACCGAUCUUAAACCCUCAGUGAUAGUGACUAAAUUUUCCAAAAAACGUUUUAGCCAUACUGUUUCUCGCAUUGUGGCAGAGCAUGUAACAAAUUCUACCUCCAUCGUAGAUAAAGCCGUGCAUGUCUGUUUCUUGCUAUUUUAAGAAAUUGCACUUCCAUUAAGCAAGAACGCAUAUCCAAAAAUCGAUAAUCUAUGGUGUCUUUCAAGUAUCUCAGGAUCCUCUUCACUGCUUUCUUGUGUGCUUAACCAAGAUUUGAUUGAUAUCAGUCAUCAAUCCCACGGCACAACAUAUGUUGGGUCGAGUACACAUCAUAACAUAUAUCGAACUUCCAACCACACUAGUAUAAGGAACAAUUUACAUUACUUUAAUUUCUUUUGGAGUCUUAGGGCACAUCUUAAUACUUAGGCCUUCACCUUGCAUGACAGGGGUAUAAAUGGGAUUACAGUAUUGCAUAUUGAAAUGCUCAAGAAUCUUCAUUAUAUAAGACUCUUGUGAUAAAACAAGGAGUUUCCUUGAUCGAUCUCUUUCGAUCUUAACUCUUAAUAUAUAAGCAGUUUCUCACAUGUCCUUCAUUUCAAAAUUGGAGGAUAACCAUUCUUUUAUGGUGAUAACCAAAAUCUUAUCAUUUUCAGCCAAUAAAAUAUCGUUCACAUAAAAUGAUAUAAUUACAAAUUUAUCUUCGAACCGCUUGAUAUAUACACAGUGAUCUUAUUCAAUCAUCGUGAAACUAAAAGUCGUUAUAGCUUAAUGAAAAUGAAGAUACCACUAUCUAGAUGAUUGCUUAAGGCCAUAUAUUGAGUGAUGAAACUUGCAUACUUUAUUGAAACAUAUUGGUUGCUUCAUAUAGAUUUCUUUAUCUAGUUUUCCAUUAAGAAAUGUCGUCUUUACAUCCAUUUGAUGUAAUUCAAGGUCCAAAUGUGCAACAAUAGCUAUGAUAAGGCAUAUUGAGGCAAACCUUACAAUUGGCGAAAAGAUUUCCUCGCAAUCUAUACCCUCUUGUUGAGUAUAAUCUUUACACAAGACGAGCCUUAUACUUUAUGAUGGAUCCAUCUAUCCUUCGCUUAAUCUUAAAGACACAUUUGUUUCCAAUGGCCUUGCGAUUGGGUGGUAGAUCAACCAAGUCCCAAACGUGAUUUGCCUCCAUUAACUAAAUUUCAUCUUCCAAAGCUUUUCUCCAUUCUUCCUUAUUAGAGGAUGAAAGAGCUUCUUGAACAAUCUUAGGCUCGACAUCAUCUUUUUGAGCAAUCAUAAAUACUUCCCUUCAACCUCAAAAGAUGAUGAUGAAUACUUUUACGAUUACUUUUACGCAACUAAAUUUCUCUUGAAUUCAGAUCGCCAGGCAAUGCAACAUUCCCACUAGAUCUUAUAUGUUGAGGUAAAUCUUCAUUUCCCUUUACAACAUUAGUAGGUGUGUUAUUAGGAUCUUUCAUCUUAUAUAAUUGGAAGUCCUUAUCAAUCUCACCUCUACUCGAAAAAUCAUUCUCCAAGAACGUGACAUCUCGUAACUCUAUUUCGGUCACAUUUCCAUCAGCUUGUUCACCUAUAAACACAUACCCUUUUGAGUGUUCUAAAGAUCUUAUAAAUAUACAUUUCUUCCCUCUAGGACAUAAUUUGCCAUAUUUAUGAAAUGAAUCAUGAACAUAAGCUACACAUCCCCAUGGAUGUAGACUACUUAAGUCUGGUUUUUUACUAGUCCACAAUUCAUAAGGGGUGGAAGCGACCGAUUUUGAGAGCACUCGAUUAAGUACAUAGGUAGCAGUUAAUAACGCAUCUCCCCAAUAAGAGAUAGGUAAAUUUACUUAUGUCAUCAUAGACCUAACCAUUUCCAAUAGGGUUCUAUUACUUCUCUCAGCUACCCCAUUUUGUUAUGGAGUACCAUGAAUAGUCAAUUGUCGUACCAUUCCAUUUUCAUCACAAAAAGCCUUGAAUUGCUCCGAUAGAUACUUACGUCCGUGAUCGGUUCUCAAUGCCUUUAUUGUUUUGUUCAACUAAUUCUCUACCAUCGUUUUAUAUUGUCUAAAGCAGUCUAAUGCUUAUGACUUAUGAAAGAUUAAAAAAAUAAUAAUAAUAACUAAAACACGUGAAGUCAUCGACGAAAGUGAUGAAAGAUGAGACUUCAAGCCUCGCCCUCAUAUUCAAAGGACCACAAAUGUCAUAAUGUAUGAAUUGCAAUGGAAAUUCGGUUCUAGUCCCUUUACCAAAUGGUUUUCUAGUUGCUUUUCCCGCUAGACAAUGUUCAUAUACGAGUAGUUCAACAUUAAUGAGUGACCCUAAAAGGCCUUUUCUAGUAAUCUUUGCAUUCUUUGCAACCCAACGUGACCUAAUCUAACAUGCCAAGUACUUGCAUCAAUCUUAACAUUACUAAAAGAUGCAAUUAAAGAAAAAACAACCAUCGACAUUAAAUUGUACUAAUUAUAGUCAAUGUCUAACACCAUAAAAUCAUUCGAUACAUGACACGAACCAUAAUACACCGUUCCACACAAAAUGUCAACACAAUCACCAUGAAAAUUCAAUACAUAACCUAGGCUAAGAAGAACAAGUACGGAGACCAAGUUUCGUCGAAUAUCUAGAGCAUAGAGGACAUAGUGUAGGAAUAGGUUUUAACCACCACGUAAAAUUAAUUUACAUGUGCCGAUACCGUUCAUUUCAAUUCUUGAGUUAUUCCCAACAUAUAUCCAUCUUCUUCCAGGCUGUAUAUGACGAUACUACACAAAUGCUUCUUGGUCUCUAGCUAUGUGAUUUGUUGCUCUUGAGUCUACAGUCCACAUUGGAUGAGAUUCAACAAGCAUUACAGUGCUAGAAACAAAAGGAUUACUUAAAGUAAUGGAGUAAUAGAGUACCUCUUUCGGCUUAGUGUGUUCGCGAGCAAAGUGACCCAUAUUGCCACAAUUGUAACACUUCAUCUUGGUCUUGUCUUUCUUCCCACCACGCUUCUUAUGUUGGAAGGCCUUAGCCAUUUUAAGUGCUUGAUCAAUCAUCUUCCUUUUGUUGUUGAAUUAAUGAUUCCUUUUGUGCUUGAAGCUUGAAACUUUGCGCGAACUCAACUCAGCAACAUAAGCAUGAGUAGAGGAUCCCGCAGCCUCUAGGCGCUCAUCCUUUAUUUCCAAAUGACGUGCUAUGUCAUCAAAAGUGGCAAUAUUCUCAUUAUGCGUCAUAUUAAUGUUCAUAUGCUCCCAACUGUCAAGAAGAGACCUUAUAACAGCCUGAACUUGUUGUUAAUUAGUAAGGGAGUGACCUACCGACUUUAGCUCACAAUCAUAUUUGACAUCUCCCAAAGAUGCUGCCUCAUCGUUACAUUUGGGCACUUUAAGUAUGUGUCAAAUUUGAUGGCGAGUCUCCUCAAUUUAGUGGCAGAUGUAUCCCUAAACUUAUCUUUCAAGGCAACUCACAUAACUUGAGCUUUAUCAUAACUUUCAAACUCACACAUGAGAUCAUCUUGCAUACAACUUAGCAACGUGAUGCAAGCAAUGCUAUUUUCCUUUUCCAAGCUUGAUAAGCUUCUAGAUAUCUCCUAUGUUGAGCUGAAGUUCCAUGCUCAGGUUCAUCUAUGGUGUGGUUGAGAGUGUCCAAAACCUCUUGCUUCUUAAGGAUGUAUUGAACCUUUCGGUGGCAAAUAUCAUAAUUGUCACUGUUUAACUUCUUACCCUUAUUAAGGUCAGUCACUAUGGUCUUGGAUGCCGAAGCCAUAAUCAAUUGCUAUAACACAUUGAUAUAAUAAACGUAGAAUCAAUAUUAGCACACUUUUUAGAGUAACACACAUUAAUUUGCAGCAAAGACAAACCAAAUUAAUGAUAAUUCAACAAAAGACACAGAAACGAAAAGUUCACUAUGUUCCUAAUUAGCUCCUAUGUACGAUUGUUCUAUUGUUAUUAAUUAGUUUAAUUUGUGCAAAUUUUAAGUUCUAGGUGAGAACUCCUUCGAAUUCUACCAACCUACAAACUUCCACUAUAAAAAAUAAUUACAUGACCACAUGUACUUUUUUACAUUUUUCCAUUAACAUUAAAACAUAACAUAAUGUGAACCAACGUACAAAAAACAGUUAUGCUGCAACUACAAUCAAAACCGUAAUUCAACAUGGAACGGAAAUACAAGGAUUUCCUACCAUUGUUCGAAUUUUCUUGAACUAGAAAAUUACAAGUAUAUUAAACUAUAUACAUAAUACCAUUGAACCAAGCUCUACACAACAUAUAUGACAUCAUUUUCAUAUAGGCUAGCUACUGUAUUUCCUAAAACAUAAGAAAAUACAAGCUACAAAUGAAUAAACUAUGCAUUUAUACCCUAAAAAUACGCGUACUUAGGGUUAUGUAUACAUUUUUAUACAUUUAUAAAACUCAAAAGUAUAAAAUAAUUAUACCACAGUGUAGAGCUCAACAAUACAAACCAAAUGCCACCAACCACGCUCCAAUCAGAGUUCACACGUGCCCACACGCGCCACCUGAGCGUGCGGCACGUGUGACGCACGCGCGAGCAAGCCAAACGGCUCCUCGCCGGUCCAACCAGUUUGAUCGGCAACCGGUCUGAUCGGUUUGACCACCUGACCGGUCCAUCGGUCCGACCAGUUGACCGGUCAACGGUCGGAUUGGGUCGGGUCUCCAGACGAGUCGGGUCUCAGGUCAGUCGCAGGCUGGCAAUUGGCCGGCCAACUGUGCCGGUGACCGGCCGGCCAACUCUGCCGGCGAUGACGUCAUCCGGUAGUUAUCGACUGUUGGAUGACGUCUCGAUGACGUCACGGUGACGUUAGCACGCGUCAUUUCGUCAACGCAUGAGUGACGUUCAUGUGCUGGCAUGCCUAGUGUGUCAGGUGCGUGUAUCCCACACACAGUAGCUUCUGGCUACACGUGUAGGCACAUCCGGCGUCCUCUGGUGAUGCUCUACUCAUCGUCAAACUCGUCUCGACAAGUACUUUCACCUUAUACGUUUAAAAAUUUAUUUUGGCCGAAAAAGUAUUUCGAAAAAUGGCCAAAAACCAUACAGGUGUUUGCGACCCCGAACCCGUUCUUCGCUUCGGUUCAUUUUCAACGAUUCAAAUAGCAAUUCUAAGGAAUAAGCAUCCAAACAGUGUAGAUUUCAUACUCUUGAUCUCGAUAUCAAAUGGUAAACGAGAAAAUUCGAUGAAAAACAAGGCAGAAAUCACAACUUGGUUGUGAUACCAAUGUAGGAAUUCAAGUCGGCGGAAGACGACUUACCUAUUUCCGAUGCGCAGUCAACAAUUUACCUCAGAACGAUCGUUGAAUUGUGGAUGAAUCACGAACAAUAUUACCUCACGUUGGUUUGAAUGUAAUCACAAGGAAAACAUCAGAUUUCCACAGUGUAAAUGUCAAUUGUUCUUGUAAAGAAGAAAUGGAAUGCCUUCUUUUUCUUUUGAUGGAAAGGGGACAAGAAAAUGAGAGGAAUUUCUCUAAGUGUACGUUCUGCUCACCAUGCCAACGCUUGUCUUUAGGAGUCUUUUAUAUGACUCCAUCACAUCUUUUCAAAAGGUGUAUUUCAAUGUAGUAUAUCAAGACGAAACGGUGCGUUUCAAUCGCACCCCAUCAUGGACAUACUAAUUAAGUACAACACCAUCUUUAACUUUUUUAUUUUAAUUUUUAUGUUUAAGGAGUUGUAUUUAAUAGCUUAAAUUUGUCAAAUCUAAGUUCUCAUGUCCUCCUUCAACAUCCGGUGCUUGAAAGGUUGGCUUCCUCAACUAGUUCCAAAUUUACUCUAUUUUUCUUUUUCUUUUUUUGGCUGAGAUUUAUAUAAUUCUUUAUUGCAAGCUCAAAUUGAGAACAAAUCAAAAUAAUAAUAUUCACACAAUAAGAAACAAAUCCACCAAUAUUUUUCAAAUAAUAAGAAAUAUAUGAAGAAUUCAAUUGCAACUUUUAAAAUAGUGUAUAUUAUUCUUUGGCCAAAAGAAAAUAUUAUGUAGAUAUUAUUCCCAAAUAAAAAAAUUUAAUAACUCAAAAAAUAGGAAUUUAAUUAUCUUUUUUUUUUGGCAGAAUGUGUAAUUAUCUUGUACGCGUUUAACUUCGAUUGUUGUACGAUUUUGUAAUUGAAUAAAUCAUAACUGUGGAGAAAAGUUCGUUAAUCUCUACCUUUCUUAUUGCAAGAAAUUAGGAGUAUUCAUUGUUGUCAAAUUUUACUUUGUAUCUAUAUAUUUUAGAUAUACAAUUCUUAAUAUUUUCUAACAUCUCAUUCAAAUUGAUGGAGUUCGUAUUGAAAGCAACUUUGCCAAUGAAAAUACUGGUGGUGAUGAAGACAAGAUGAACAAUGCAAUCAAAGAUGCUAAUCAUGAAAGCAGCACGAUACCAGAGAACAUGAAAAUCAAACCUUGCAUAGGCAUGGAGUUUAAUUCUUAUGAUGAUGCUUAUGCAUUUUGAAACAAUUAUGCUAAAGAAGCGGGAUUUGGCAUUAGAGUGUUAAACUCAUACAAAAGAAAAGGUAGCACGGAAAAAUGUGGUGCAAUACUUUGUUGCGGUUGUCAAGGGUACAAGAUCGAAAAGAAGUAGGUUAAGUUAGGACUGAGAAAAAAAUGCAGUUGUCCAGCAAUGGUUAAAGUACAUCAAGUUAGGCCUCAUAAGUAGGAAAUAACAAAAGUCGUACUCGAUCAUAAUCAUUUUACAACUCCUUAAAGUGCUAAAUUCUUUACAUCACAUAGGAAUAUCGAGUCCAGAACAAAAGGAAAAAUUGAGUUGCACUGUGAUGCAAGGAUUAGAACAAAUAAAUCGUUUCAAGUGUUGGUUGUUGACGAAGGAGGACAUGAGAACUUGAAUUUGACAAAUUUAAGAUAUUAAAUAGAACUCCUCAAAUAUUAAAAAGGGAAAGAGAAAAAUAGGGUAAAAGAUAGAAACUAGUUGAAAAAGUCAACCGGUUUCCAACCAAAAUGAGGGUCCUUAGUUGACCGUCACUCCGUCAUUUGACAGAGAAUGGUCAGCUAAGCCAAACAUAUUCAUAAUUAACCGUAAAUUCAAAAUAAAAAAUUAAAAGAGUUUUGCUAGCAUGAUAGUACUGUGAUGCUAAGUUUCUAAUGGUGCCAUAUUGACCACAAUUUUCACCCCAAUAAGAAAUGGCUACUAAAAGUUUAUAGGUAAUACGAUUCUUUCCAUAAAAACUAAAUAAAUUCACAUUGAAGAAAAUGAAAUUUAGAAACCAUUCUUUGCUCCUCCUAACUACUUCUUUUGAAUUUAAAUCUUCAUCCCAUCUCUCCUCUAUGAACUACUUUGCAGUAUGAUCUUUUCUUCUUCUGUUUUUUGGUUAAUCUACAUUUUUUUUAUAAAGAAAAUCCACAUUUUACAACAUUUCCUCUUGGUAAAUGUUGCAAUAUCUAUAUUUCAUUAAAUAAAACAAGAAAAUUAUGACAUUCACUUAGUUACAUUAAAAUUAAAAUAUAUAUAUAGAUAAAAAAAAUCCACAUUUUAUAAAGUUUUGAACUUAUGACAUACCGUCCAAAAUUCAUUGUGUACCACGGUAAUUGUAUGAUUUUAAUUUCAUAUUUUCUUGUACUUUACAAUAUAUUUCACUUGAUUACAAUAAAAUGUCGUACAUUGGUGGUGCAACGUUGCAAAAUUAGAUAAAAAUGCAUUUUAUGACAUCAUGUGUACUUGAUUACCAUCAAACAUAAUAAACCUUUAGAGAAUAUCGAAAAAUAUAAAAUACAUAUGUAUAUAUGUUUUUUUAUGAUGUUUUGUUCACAUCCUCAUAUCAUAAAUUUACAUAUAGGCUAUAAUUUACAUCAGCGCAGCCCAUAGUGGUUCUAAAAACAAAGGAUGGUCAAGGAUUUCAAGAAUCCUUAGACUAGAUUUCUAUGGACAUACAAGCAAAGAUACAUAAUUCUAUAAUUAAGUAGUUGGUUGCCACGUGUCGAAGCCAAGACAAUUUUGAAGACAUAACAUUGACGGUGAAUUUAGGCAAGAAUGGUUAAAAAGGCACCAAACUCAAGAGGAUCAGUUAAUUCUCAAUGGACAAGCCAUGAGAACAUUAUCGAACAAGUCAAAAACCAAAUGUGGAUAAGGCGGUUCAAUAUAGAAUAUGGAGCGACUCUUGAGGAGGAAGCAACCGAUCACCGAUGGUUACUAAAUUGGCCUAUAAAUACCAUAGUCAAUCCAAUAGAAAGCCUAAGAACACACAAAACUACUUUAUCUUACAUUUUAUCUUUGCUUAGUCUAGCUUAGUUGUAGCUUAAGAUACCCAUCGUAGAUUCAAUUCCGGCGAAUGUCUAUGUCCCGGGUAUGCUGUUGAUUAGAUUCUAGUGCUAACACAUUUUCUAGCGUCAUUAAUUAGAUGUCAACGUUGUGUCCUCAUAUCCAUCUAGGAACAAUGAUUACUAAGUGUUAUUACCAUUGUCCAAUGUCAUCAAUUAGAUUUCGACGUUGUGUCCUCAUAUCCAUCUAGGAGUAGUGUUUACUAGUUGUUAUUCUCAUUGUUCGGCGUCAUUGAUUAGAUUCUGAAAUUGUGACCUCAAACUUAUUAGAAAGUAGUGCUUUCCGAGUGCUUUUGUUAAUAUCCAGUGUUGUCAAAUCAUCUUUGAUAUUGUAUAAACCGCUUUAAUUUUAAUGGACUUUCAUUGUUAUGUUAAAGUGAGUUUAGAUGUGACCGUUGAUUAGAUUUCAACAUUAAUUAUUGUUGGUAUUAAGCUCAUGUUAAGUGCAUUAAGCAACUUCUUUAAAUUUGGGAUUAUAUGAUAUAUAGCCUCCUUCUUAUUUGAUCAUCUCUGUUUAAAGUUAACACAUAACUUGAGUUUCCUUUAAUAAAAACCAAAAUCUAAUACUUGGUGAAAGAUAUUUCGUAGCGAGAUCCAAAAUCGGUGAAAUAGGUGGCUUAAUUUUUCAGAUGAUUUUUUAUAGGUAGGGGGAGCGCUCAAACAAAUUGGACGGGUAGGGCGAUCCUACAAGCGAAAUAAUAGAUGAGAACAGUGAAAAAGACUAUCAUAUUUUGAUGCGUGAUGGGGUGAGUGGAGCUACGUUGGAUGCUCCCGCAUCACUAUUAUAAUGAAACUAGGGGUGAGCAUGUGGGACCGCUCGAACUAGGAACCACCUAGGUUCGACCAGACCGAUCGAUCGGUGCGGUUUGGUUCCCGGUCCCAUAAAUUGGGAACCGGUCCUUUCAAUCCAAUUCUUGAAAGAAAGGGCAGCAUAAUUCUCACAAAAUACAAAUAUUCAUAUUUUAUGGCGUUACAAACUUGGUAGAUGUCACGAUAUCUAUAUCUCGUUAAAUAAAACAAGUAUUUAACAAGAAACUUAUGACAUUCACUUGGUUACAUUAAAAUUAAGUAAUGAUCUAGAUAAAAAAAAAUCACAUUUUAUAAAGUUUAGCACUUAUGACUUACCAUAAAAAAAUCCAUUAUAUACUAUAGUAAUUGUAGUAUUAAAAAUUCACAUUUUCUUGAACUUCAUAAUAUGUUGCACUCUGUUACAACUAAAAUGUCGUCAAUGGUGGUGCAACAUUGUAAAAUUAAAUAAAAAUGGAUUUUAUGACAUCAUGUAAGCUUGAUAACCAUCAAACAUACUAAAUCUUUACAUAAAAUCGUAGAUAAAGAAAAGCAUAUUUUGUAAUGUUUUGUAGUCGAUGACAUCCUUACACUGUAAAUUCGUAAAAUUUAAUUUUUUUGGUUCUUUUGUUUUAUAAGCUUUGUUGAUCGGAUUGAAGUGGAAAGUACCUGGAUAGUCCCUUUUGGUCGUUUGUAACUCAUGGAAUAAAGAGGCUCUAUACGAAAAGCAUAAAAGGACCAAGCAAAAAGUAUAAAGAGAAAGAGAAAAAGAAUAGAAAAGCCCUUUCCGUUGUUCGUAACUCAUGGAAUAAAGAGCCUCUGUACGAAAAACAUAAAAGGACCAAGAAAAAGGUACAAAGAGAAAGAGAGAAGGAAUAGAAAAGCUCUUUUGGUUGUUUUUCUUUUCGAUGACCUAGGAAACCAGUAAGCCGACAACCGGCGGGCAAACCCUAAGGCCCACAAAGAAACCCACCACCCCGUGAAGUGGGUAAGUCCACCUGCGACGUGCUGGGGAUUCGAACUUCUCCCAUUUAUGAGGGGAAGAAAGCUCGAAACCAGCAGCGCCACUCAGUGCGAUGGUAAAGCCCUUUUGGUUGUUCGUAACUCAUGGAAUGAGAAAAGAAUAAAGAGCCUCUGUACGAAAAGCAUAAAAGGACUAAGCAAAAAGUACAAAGAGAUCCUUACCAAAAAAUUAAAUAAUUCCUUACCAAAAAAAAAAAAAUGUACAAAGAGAAAGCUUGUCCAAAAACAAAAAGUAUAAAGAGAAAGAGAGAAGGAAUAGAAAGCCCAGAGCGACGUGCCAUCAACUUCUCCUUUGCCAGAUUAGAAGUGCCGUCUCACCUAGUCGAGCUUGAACGAGUUCGCUUUUCUCCAGAGGUGGCUUAAUUUUCAAAUGACUUGUAAUUACUCUGGUCCAAGUACGUGUUCUAGAUCAAGAGUCAAGGAACACAAAUAUGAACUGUUAAAAAGUUAUAAAUUUAUUACACAAUAAUCAAUUUAAUCUUAAAUUUUUUUCAAUUAUGUCAAUUUAAUCAUGAAUUUUUUAAUGAUUUGUCAAUUUAUUUUUAAAAUUUUAUUUAUGUCAAUAAUCCUAAAUAUUUUGAAGAUUUGCCAAUUUAAUUUUAAACCUAUUAUGUGGAUAUUUUACUAGAAGGGACAUUGGAAAAUUUUCAAAAGAUUUAUGAUUAAAUUGCAAAUCAUCAAAAUGUUUAAAACUAAAUUGAAAAAAUGUUUAUGAUCAAAUUGGUAAAUCGUUAAAAGUUUAAAACAAAAUCAGUAGAAGACUAAAUUGGUUUCCGUACAACAAGUUUAGGACUUUUUGGAUAAUUUUUCCGUUAUUUAUUAAAUACCAAUUUAUCUAAUUUUUAAAUUUUUCUUAGAGAUUUUAAAUAAUAUUUAAAAUUCUAUUGGGAAAGUGAAAAAUGUAAUUGCCUUGCUUCAUGACAAACAAAUAUGCCCAUAAUCUUUUUUUUUUUUUUUCUUACUUCUUCGAGUUUUUGAAAGAAAAUAACAAGGCUCAAUUUUAAUAAACAUCAGGCUAAUUGGAAAAACAAAUUUGACCAUUUCAUAUCCAUGCUCAUUUGCCAUGUAAUAUCGUCUCGUGAUUUACCAUGUCAUAUGUAUUGAUUUUAUUUCUGCUCAUUUUUCAUGUCAUGUCGUUUUGUGAUUUGCCAUGUCAUUGGCAUGCCUUUUUUAUUUAUUUAUCACUCACAUGCGACGGUCUUCGGUCUCAGAGAGUGGAACUCGAACGUGGCAAAGAAGCGACGGUCUUCGGUCGCAGAGAAGAGAAGCGUGGAUUGAAGUGGGCGUGUGAGUGGGAAAUUUGGGAUCGUAUGAAGAAGACACGAGGAUGGAGGGAUGAACUGAAGGGAAAAUAAAAGUAAAACAGAAGCUGCUAGCGUCGGCAACGAAGGAGAGGUGCACGAAGGAGACCGAGGCAGCGGUCUUCGCAACGUGGAGGAAGGGGCUCCGUGGAAAUUGAAAGAGAAGCUGCGUCCGUGGAGAGCAGCUGGCUUGGGGGGAAAGAAGUCAACAUGUUUAUCUCCUCAAUUGAAUCCUUGUCCCCCUUAAUACUUUCCAACAAACAUAAUCCAAGAAUUAACCAAUUUGAUACCAAAAUAUAGCCCCUCAACCUUAAUUCCGAAUUUCACUUAGUUUAAACUUCAAUUUCAUCCUCAAAUUCUCAAAUUUGAAGUCCAAUUUCGUUGAAGAAAAAUCCCACACACUUCCACAAAUUCCUAUCAUCUAGUGGCUCGACUUAGAAGUCGAAAUUCCCUUCAAAUGAACUAAACCGAAUUUCCAUUCGUUUUCCGAAUCGAUUUUCCAUAAAAAUCUCAAAAUCUCCGAAAAUUUUUCAGAAAGUGGGUCGACUUUCCUAAAACGAAUUGUGACAUGACAGAGCUUUCAAUUUUUGAAAUCGAGUUCAAUUUCGCAGUUAAUUUUAAUUCAACGUGAUUUUAGCACAUCCCAAUCUAUCAGGUAGCUUUUAUGAAUUUUUAAUACAAUUGACCCGUGGUCGAUUAUUUUCGAGUCACAAUGUACAUCUUAAACACAUUGACGACUCUUAGUUGUCGAGAAAAUCUCAAGAUUUCAAAUACGGACACAAGGUACGAAAUUGACAAAAAAAUCAAUCUAGUGCCGUUCGAGAGAAAAUUUUCAAUUAAGUGAGAUCACCCACGCACUAAUCACACACCUCUAUCGAAUCGACCUAUCUCUAGUCUCUGAUCAAUUUUGUCAGUGCCGUAAUGACCCUUGCAGAUUAGCAUGAUCGAACAGUUGAUUCCUGAUCGAAUUCUCAUGUCUAUUGUGUUUAGAUUACUUAACGGCUUCACCCAAUAGGCUAGUCAACUCGUGAGUGGCCAACUCAAAGAAAAAUGCUAUAAGUACAUCGAUGAAAAGUCCAACUCGUUUCAUUGAAAUUAGACUUGAAAAUUAGGAUGUCACACAAACAAUUUCUUCACAGGAAGAGGGCAUUUUUGUUCUUCUUCUUUUCCUUUAGAAUACACAAUUCUAUAGCUCCCCACUUAGAAAAAAGCAUGUUCUUUUCUCUUUUAAAGAAGUAACCCUCAAAAUAAUUGCCUUGACGGGCUCUUUUGAGUUAUGGGCUGGGUUAGCCUAACAUGGGUAGCCCAAUAACAAUAAACCCCAUCAAUAAUAUAAACCCUAACCAACAUGACUUCAACCGCUCAAUUCCCCUCUAGCGAUCACCAUAAAGCUAAAUUAACUUAGGGCUUUCGUUGCCCGUGGUGGUGCGAUUGCUUUGGUCCGAAACCGGGCCGUGGGUUGCCUGAAUUUGGCCAGAAUCUCCAAUUUCUCUCUCGCCCAUAUAUAGCCCCAAUUUUUAAUUCAAUUAAAGACCCCACAAAAAAUCAUCAAGGCAAAGAUAUGAAUAGCUCUGAUACCAAAUGUUUGGGAACUAAAAGGAUUGAAGAACUCAAUUAUUCAUGAAUGAACAAAACUUGUGCAUAAUCUGGAUCGAAAGUGGAAAUGUGAAGAAUUAUGUGCUAACCUUCGCCAUUGAUGAAGUUUGAUUGAUAACUUGAAUUGUCGAUGUCAAAUAGUCAGUGAAAGGGUAUUUCUAGNNNNNNNNNNNNNNNNNNNNNNNNNNNNNNNNNNNNNNNNNNNNNNNNNNNNNNNNNNNNNNNNNNNNNNNNNNNNNNNNNNNNNNNNNNNNNNNNNNNNCUAUAUUUAAUUUUAAAAUUAUUAUUUUUAAAUAUUUUAACUAAAUUUAAAUUUAAUUUAAUUAAUUUUUAAAAUUUUUUUUACCACGUCAGCCUAAAACGACGUCGUUUUGGCCACCUUAGCGUCCAAAAUGACGUCGUUUUGGGCGCGCUUCGCCGGAAAAAUGCCAUGUUGGCAUUUUGGCCGGACUUUGGUUGGAGUGACACUCAAGUGAUCCAUUUUUUUUUCGAAUGUAGUACUUAAGUAUACCUUUCGUAAGUUAUGGCACUUAAGUGUCCGUUUGACUAAAGUUAUGGCACUUGAAGCGUUCUUUUGCCCUCAUGUCCCAAGUGACUUUAAAUGUUUCGAAUCUAGUGAUGUGAAAUGAGCCCUCCUUUUGAAUCACAUGCCUAACUUCUUCAGGAGUAGGUAGGUAAAUGGGCAUGUUCCAAUCAUCCAGCUUUUCCUCUUCGAUUAGGCCCUUUAAACACAAAACCAACAAAUUGUUGGUGAGAAGAAAGCGACGAUAAAUCGGAUCGCUGCACAUAAAACAAUUAAUCCAGAACAGCAAUUAUUUAAAGCAGGGAGUCAUUUGGGCCACACUAAUCAAACAAAGAAAGUCUUAUGCGAAAUAGUUCACACGAUGCAUUCAAUAGGCACGCAUUAGCACGGAAGCACACGGAGAUUGUAGAGAGUAAAACCUCUUGGACCAUAUCGCUUAUUGUCAUUCCCAGCAGUUCAUAUAUAUUAGAGACUUGAUCCUCGGACAAAUUGACAGUCGCAUCUCUGCCGAUCAUUGUGAGCAACAUACGACCUCCAAGGAUGAACUCUUCCGAACGAGACUUAAGGAACAAAGUCAUGUCCCUCUUGAAAAGGUCCAAGUAUGCCUCGUGCACGCUCUUGGGGGUUGUCCUUGCCAGAUAAAUAUGGCCUUUGUUUAAGGGCGAUCCGAACUCACUAACGAGGUUGGCGGGCGCCUGAUAAGGUGCAAAAGUAACAUAAUUUGCAUGAAUCAAAUAAAGAAAAGCAAAUAAAUCAAUCUAAAGUGAAUUCAUACUAACUAACCUGAGAGCGCCAGUGGACACUAUAUGAAAAAUUUAUGAAAUGAAGAUAAUGAGCCGGAAACAACCUCCCAUAAUAACUCCCGGGCAUUACUGCUAUGAAACAAGGCCCGAAAUCUCCUCCCUUGUCUCUCCUCAGCUCCUCGUAAAAGCUUGGGAUCGAUCUGAUUAAGGUGUUGAAAUUAUUACCGAAGAGAUCGUUUAGGAAAAUUUGAAACAUGGGUUCCUUCUUAUUUAGUUUCUUUCGUAUCGUAUCGAUGGAAUCGAUCAUUUCCCUAAAAACUAGUAGCGCGUUGGGACCUGAAGAGCAUCCCAAAUCUGCCAGUUUCAAGCAUUCAGGGAAGCUAUCUAGACAGAGCUCUCUUAGGGUUUCUUGCAGUGCUAGUAUUGCCCUGGACAUAACCUGUUUCUGUAUUUAUGCGUACGGACAGCAAGUUAGUUACAACAUUGAAAUCAAUAAUAUGCAUGUUUUGAAUCUUCAUUUUUCUUUUGUACUUAAACCAACCUCUUGCAAGGUUUAUGAAAAAAAGAGCAACAUCUUGCAAGUGAGUUACAUCGCUUUUGAUUGAAACGAUUAGGAAUGUCAAAUAGGCUCAAACUUUGGAUUGGGUUCAGGCGUGUUCUGCUGUCUCAGAGGUGAUUACAACAAAGAAUAUGACGGAAUGACAUGAUUGUCGAGUGAGGUAGGCCAUCGCGGUUCGAUCCACAACAAGUCAUGGCUGAAGGUUGUAGGUGUUGCCUUGGGUUCAAAAAGAGUUGCGUUUGGAUUU
RNAcentral lists this long non-coding RNA (26868 nucleotides) under Eucalyptus grandis. Its description in RNAcentral is "long non-coding RNA (EGRA_LNC004279)". The record is from RNAcentral. Lineage: Eukaryota; Viridiplantae; Streptophyta; Magnoliopsida; Myrtales; Myrtaceae.